Molecule: ribosomal RNA, 434 nt
Filed under: uncultured Lachnospiraceae bacterium
Lineage: Bacteria; Bacillati; Bacillota; Clostridia; Lachnospirales; Lachnospiraceae
Description: bacterial SSU rRNA
Rfam family: Bacterial small subunit ribosomal RNA
Source: RNAcentral
ACGGAAGGCAGCAGUGGGGAAUAUUGCACAAUGGGCGAAAGCCUGAUGCAGCGACGCCGCGUGAGUGAAGAAGUAUCUCGGUAUGUAAAGCUCUAUCAGCAGGGAAGAAAAUGACGGUACCUGACUAAGAAGCCCCGGCUAACUACGUGCCAGCAGCCGCGGUAAUACGUAGGGGGCAAGCGUUAUCCGGAUUUACUGGGUGUAAAGGGAGCGUAGACGGUUUGGCAAGUCUGAAGUGAAAUGCGGGGGCUCAACUCCUGAACUGCUUUGGAAACUGUCGAACUAGAGUGCAGGAGAGGUAAGUGGAAUUCCUAGUGUAGCGGUGAAAUGCGUAGAUAUUAGGAGGAACACCAGUGGCGAAGGCGGCUUACUGGACUGUAACUGACGUUGAGGAUCGAAAGCGUGGGGAGCAAACAGGAUUAGAUACCCUGGUA